AAACACCCCAAAAACACACCCACACACACCCACACACACACACAACACACACACGCAGGGCUACACCUGGCUGAAAGAGAAGGGAGGCGCGGAUGAACAGAGGAAGCAGCAAGGGAGACUACGAGAACUUUGCAGCCUGGCGGAGGAACUAGGAUGCACCCUGACACAGCUCUCAGUGGCCUGGAGUCUCAAGAAUGAAAACCUCCACUGUGUUCUUAUUGGAGCUGCCUCGGUGGAACAGCUCCUGGAAAACCUUCACUCUUUGCAGGUGGCCAGCAGACUCAGACCGGAGCACUUGACGGAGGUGGAGCGCAUCUUGGACAAUAAGCCAGUUCGCCCCCCGAUGGUCUCAACGCUAGCCCAAAGAUGACAAGAGCUCACAGCGGCUGGAGCGGAGGAAAUAUUAGAAGACGAGGAGCCGGUGGAAACAAAAACGCCAUUUUGUGUUAUAAUGUAAGGAAAAAAGAAGAAGAAGAAGAAGAAGAAGAA
Long non-coding RNA from Portunus trituberculatus (swimming crab), 489 nucleotides. RefSeq lists it as uncharacterized. The record is from RefSeq and is a predicted model, not a curated record. The transcript is spliced from 3 exons. NCBI's taxonomy places the organism in Eukaryota, Metazoa, Arthropoda, Malacostraca, Decapoda, Portunidae.